GGCGCCAUAGCUGAGCGGUAAAGCAUUUGGCUUUCGAACCAGGGUACCGGGUUCGAAUCCUGGUUAUGACU
Molecule: transfer RNA, 71 nt
Filed under: Biomphalaria glabrata
Lineage: Eukaryota; Metazoa; Mollusca; Gastropoda; Planorbidae
Rfam family: tRNA
About the family: Transfer RNA (tRNA) molecules are approximately 80 nucleotides in length. Their secondary structure includes four short double-helical elements and three loops (D, anti-codon, and T loops).
Source: Rfam by way of RNAcentral